This 939-nucleotide long non-coding RNA is filed under the name Homo sapiens (human). RNAcentral describes it as "HSALNT0364328". The record is from RNAcentral. Lineage: Eukaryota; Metazoa; Chordata; Mammalia; Primates; Hominidae.
GACAGGAUGCAACCCUGCCACCUCUUUCGUUCUUUUGGGCAAAAGGAAUGCUGGCUCUGUUUCCCUUCAUGGAAGUCUAGCUGUCGCAUGGGGCUGGAAUAAAGUCCUGGGGCAACUGACACCAUCUGGCUGAGGGCACUCCUUGGUGUUGCCAGAAGGCCCCUAGACUGGACCCCAUCGCCAACCACCUGCAGGAAGGUGCAGAAACAGGCCCUGGGACCAGAUAGUACUUUGAGAACCUCCUGAAAGUGGCCACCUCAGUCUUUUACAAUACCUCACUGGAAUAGAUUCUUGGAUUUAUUAUACCUGAGUAAAGGCCUGGGAAGCUGAUGGAAUUACCUCCCUCAACCCAGAAGAGCACCCAAAGUACCAACGUGAAGAAACCAGGCUCAAGCUAAAAAUCACAAAAGAGGUCAUCAAACUCCAAAUGGGAAGGCAAUCUGAUCCUUGGACAAUGGCUCCCUCUUCCUGGGAACCCUAAAAUAGAUCUCUGGGAAGAAUCUGACUGUUGUUCACCUCAAAACUACACCCACUGUCGGCAGGAAUUAGCUAAAUCAGUCAUUGUCCAUGUUCUAACAGCAGUUAGAUGUGCCUCUUCAGAGUGGGGAAAUAAUAGGGACAGGAGACAGACAAAUUCUAGACAGAAAAAGGCAGGUCCUUGGCGAAAAACCAACCCUCAAGCAGAAAAGCCUGAAACUGCGGCCCAACGUGACAACUUAUAUCCCUGUUUUCCCACUUGAAUGUUGCCUUUUCCUAAACCACCCAUGGCCGUGGCCCUUCCCAUCCUGUGCCUAUAAAGACCCCAGACUCAGCAGACAGAAAGGAGAAGUAGCUGGACAUCAGAGAGAAGCAGCUUGACUUCAGAGGGACAGCUUGAUGGCAUAAGUUAGGAGAAUAAUCCAGACAGACAUGGCCAGACUUCAAAAAAGAUUAGCUACA